AUGAAAGGCCCUUUAGAAGUGCAAAGUAUUAUGAUCUGUUUCGCCUUUGAAGAUCAACUCACGCGGUGGCUACUGAGACGUUUCCAACCAGGAAGCUCCCAAAAAGUUUUCAUCUGAAUACAAAAAUCCAUAAAGAAUCUCGGCAGGAAAGGAGCAGCCGGUUCAGAGCUGGUGUUAGUGAGCGAAACUGUUGAAGACGACAGAGUUGCACCGACUUACAUCAGGAGAUGCUGGCAGCACACGUUACAGGCAGGUCUGGUUUGGCCUCAGUACUGCCAGAGCAGCUGCUGACGGGAAUGAUUAGGAUUGCUAGAUGUCUACCCGGAUCCCAGGACAAGGCUACUUCACAGAAGGGCUUGAAUUGCAGUGACAGGACCACAAAGUUGCAGAGCUGCAGACGAAAUUGAGGGCGACACCCAGAAGUGUAAAUUCACUUGACUGGAGCAGCAGCACUGAGAUGCACAUAGGUAGGUGAAAUUCGUGCACAGCUGCCGGGGGGGAUACAGCUUGUGGCUUUGCUUCCUGAGCUUAGUCUUCGACCUCUCU
Long non-coding RNA from Mauremys reevesii (Reeves's turtle), 546 nucleotides. RefSeq lists it as uncharacterized. Lineage: Eukaryota; Metazoa; Chordata; Testudines; Geoemydidae. The transcript is spliced from 3 exons. The record is from RefSeq and is a predicted model, not a curated record.